GAUGAAGAACGCAGCGAAAUGCGAUACGUAAUGUGAAUUGCAGAAUUCAGUGAAUCAUCGAAUCUUUGAACGCAUAUUGCGCUCUCUGGUAUUCCGGAGAGCAUGCUUGUUUGAGUAUCAGUAAACACCUCAACUCCCUUUUCUUUUUUGAAAUUGGAGCUGGACUUGAGUGAUCCCAACGCUUUCUUCCAAGAAAGUGGCGGGUUGCUUGAAAUGCAGGUGCAGCUGAACUUUUCUCUGAGCUAUAAGCCUAUCUAUUUAGUCUGCCUAAAAAACAGAUUAUUACCUUUGCUGCAGCUAACAUAAAGGAGACUAGUUCUUGUGCUGACUGAUGCAGGAUUCACAGAGACAGCUUCGGCUGACUUUGUAAACUCGAUCUCAAAUCAAGUAAGACUACCCGCUGAACUUAAGCAUAUCAAUAAGCGGAGGA
This 430-nucleotide unclassified non-coding RNA is filed under the name soil metagenome. RNAcentral's name for it is "partial contains 5.8S ribosomal RNA, internal transcribed spacer 2, and large subunit ribosomal RNA". The stretch from base 1 to 120 matches the Rfam family "5.8S ribosomal RNA", at positions 35 to 154 of the family's 154-position model. The record is from RNAcentral.